UUUUUAACUUUAUUUAGGAUUGCCAGAUGCCCCGUAUUUUACGGGCUACCCUGUAUUUCAGGGUAUGAUAAUACAGAUAUCCGUAAUUGCGAAAAUGAAAUACGGGGUAAAUGAG
This is a long non-coding RNA of Maniola jurtina (meadow brown), 115 nucleotides long. RefSeq lists it as uncharacterized. NCBI's taxonomy places the organism in Eukaryota, Metazoa, Arthropoda, Insecta, Lepidoptera, Nymphalidae. The record is from RefSeq and is a predicted model, not a curated record. The transcript is spliced from 3 exons.